AAUGAGCAUUAAUUUCUAACUACUUUUGUUAGCGUUGAAAAUUCAGAGACUUGAGAUUACAUUUUUUCCAUAGGUUUUUCAUGGGCUGAGAGAAGCAGCAGAGAAUAAAAGGUGUUACUACAUGCCUGAUUUUAUCCAAAGAAAUAUCUGAUGCAGUAAUGGUUGUUUUUUUUUUUUUGGUUUUUUUUUUCCAGCUACUACUGCUGUUAUGAAGAAGAAUUUAGAAAUAUUGCUAUAAAUAGAAGGCCAUGCUCGUGACCAUGCGCUGUGAGUCAUUGCUGUUAAUUGCUCAGAUGUCUUUUCAUAAUGCCUGGGAUUCUCAACAAUGAGCAAUAGGAUUAGAAUUUGUUAUUUAGCAUUGUUAUUAAUGUAUAUGUGUAUGUAUUGGUUUGUUUUUUGUCCUGUGUACAGUUGCUCUGUAUAAUUAAAAGGAAGGUAUUGUAUCACAUGUUAUAAGUGGCUAGUCACACGAUAUGGUGAAUAAUGAACUCAGUGUGCAGAACAGCUGACAAACCCCCAUGCUAAGCUAUAUUGUAUGCAAACUAUUUGUCAGGUGCCUGUGACUAACGGAUUGAUUUUUCCAGAAAUCACAGCCAGUUAGUGGACAGCUGCCUAAUCCAAAAAGAGACACGCACAUGCACUUUGGUGUCCACACUGAACAAGAGCAGACCACUGGGCUCAGAUCCCACCGAGCGCACGCAUAUCCUCUCAGAACAGCCCAUUUUGUUUCCAGGAAUUGCAGGAAGAACAGGUUCAGCUGGUUCCCUGUGUCAAGUCAAACCAACAGAGACUGUGAAGAACUAAGCUGACUCUAUGGUGAAAGGACAGGAUCAACUUGCCAGAGAACCAGCCAAUCUCUGAAGUUAUUCAAUUGAAACCAAUAAAGGAAC
Molecule: long non-coding RNA, 890 nt
Filed under: Coturnix japonica (Japanese quail)
Lineage: Eukaryota; Metazoa; Chordata; Aves; Galliformes; Phasianidae
Description: lncRNA (ENSCJPG00005006031.1)
Source: RNAcentral